RNAcentral lists this ribosomal RNA (270 nucleotides) under uncultured archaeon. RNAcentral's name for it is "partial 16S ribosomal RNA". It matches the Rfam family "Archaeal small subunit ribosomal RNA", at positions 477 to 747 of the family's 1478-position model. The record is from RNAcentral.
CAGCACCUCAAGUGGUCAGGAUGAUUAUUGGGCCUAAAGCAUCCGUAGCCGGCGCUGUAAGUAUUCGGUUAAAUCUGUACGCUCAACGUACAGGCUGCCGGGAAUACUGCAGCGCUAGGGAGUGGGAGAGGUAGACGGUACUCGGUAGGAAGGGGUAAAAUCCUUUGAUCUAUUGAUGACCACCUGUGGCGAAGGCGGUCUACCAGAACACGUCCGACGGUGAGGGAUGAAAGCUGGGGGAGCAAUCCGGAUUAGAGACCCGAGUAGUCC